RNAcentral lists this ribosomal RNA (253 nucleotides) under uncultured bacterium. RNAcentral describes it as "partial 16S ribosomal RNA". It matches the Rfam family "Bacterial small subunit ribosomal RNA", at positions 524 to 776 of the family's 1533-position model. The record is from RNAcentral.
GACGGAGGAUGCAAGUGUUAUCCGGAAUCACUGGGCGUAAAGCGUCUGUAGGUGGUUUAAUAAGUCAACUGUUAAAUCUUGAGGCUCAACCUCAAAAUCGCAGUCGAAACUAUUAGGCUAGAGUAUAGUAGGGGUAAAGGGAAUUUCCAGUGGAGCGGUGAAAUGCGUAGAGAUUGGAAAGAACACCGAUGGCGAAAGCGCUCUGCUGGACCUUAACUGACACUGAGGGACGAAAGCUAGGGGAGCGAAUGGG